AGUGAACGCUGGCGGUAGGCCUAACACAUGCAAGUCGAACGGCAGCACAGUAAGAGCUUGCUCUUACGGGUGGCGAGUGGCGGACGGGUGAGGAAUACAUCGGAAUCUACUUUUUCGUGGGGGAUAACGUAGGGAAACUUACGCUAAUACCGCAUACGACCUACGGGUGAAAGCAGGGGAUCUUCGGACCUUGCGCGAUUGAAUGAGCCGAUGUCGGAUUAGCUAGUUGGCGGGGUAAAGGCCCACCAAGGCGACGAUCCGUAGCUGGUCUGAGAGGAUGAUCAGCCACACUGGAACUGAGACACGGUCCAGACUCCUAAGGGAGGCAGCAGUGGGGAAUAUUGGACAAUGGGCGCAAGCCUGAUCCAGCCAUACCGCGUGGGUGAAGAAGGCCUUCGGGUUGUAAAGCCCUUUUGUUGGGAAAGAAAGGCAGCAGGUUAAUACCCCGCUGUUCUGACGGUACCCAAAGAAUAAGCACCGGCUAACUUCGUG
RNAcentral lists this ribosomal RNA (492 nucleotides) under uncultured bacterium. RNAcentral describes it as "partial 16S ribosomal RNA". It matches the Rfam family "Bacterial small subunit ribosomal RNA", at positions 29 to 507 of the family's 1533-position model. The record is from RNAcentral.